Non-coding RNA from Drosophila virilis, 1236 nucleotides. The record is from RefSeq and is a predicted model, not a curated record. NCBI's taxonomy places the organism in Eukaryota, Metazoa, Arthropoda, Insecta, Diptera, Drosophilidae.
UCAGCAUUGCCGGUGGACUCAUCUUGAUGAAGAUUGCCUGAUUUAGUUACUGGAUGGCUGCAAGAACAAUGUGUUCCACUGGAUUCUAGCAUUAAGUGGAAAGAAGAUGAUCCACAGAUCCAAAUCCAGCCAGUUCAUUAAAAUGCAUAAAUUACAUGGAAUGCCGCGAUUUUGGUAAUGCGAGGUAAGUCAAACAAUAAAAAUACUAGAUUAAUUGUUGUAUGAAACAGAUGUUAAUAAGUUGCAAGCGGAAUUUAAAAAAAAAAAAAGAAAAGACUCGUCGGCUGUGGCCGACUAAGAGUUACCCUAUGUCCCUAUAUCCAGAGAUUCCACAUAUAGACACACAUCUUCUCUUGGACCCACACUUAGGCACACACAUUCCUGUAUUAUUUCGGAUGGUCAAGCUUUACCCUUAAAUUUGUUGCCUUUUGUUUUUUGAGGUGGGAAUUAAAAAAAAAGUAGACUAAUCAUGAUAUUGAUACUAGAGUCUCGAUACCAAGUAAAUAUUUCAUGAAUUUUACUUGGCAUUUGCCAAACGAAUUCUCGAUUGAUGGCGACACGUCAAGUACUUGGCAUCUCGGACAUUUGAGCGCCGGGGCAUCGGAUGGCGGUCACCCAGACCACCAGGAUUAGGAGUGACAGUCAGCAAAUGUUUGUGUCGCAACAAUUAUAAGCACCAUCACCAUGACACAGAGAAUAGAACAGAUUUCAAUGUUCAACAUAUGCAUAACCUUUCAGUUUUGAUUUUGUGGCGCCAUCUGUUAUUCAUUAUUAACUGUCGCAACGACAAAAACAGAAUAUCCGACUAAUGUGUACUCUUUGACAAUUAUAUGGCCCUUUAUAAAUAUCGCCUAGAAUUGUUUAACUCCUACGGGCUAACGCUAUAGCAUGUUGUAAGUGGCAGCUAAUCGAAUCUAAUGCGUUUACAGUGUUCCGGGUUCCUGGUCGCAACUGGUUUCACCCGUGUGGUUGGCGGGCACGAGAAUAACCACCACAGUAUGUCACCGCUUGUCGUACGAGGCGACUAAAAGAGACACUUGCCGGGAGCGGGUGCCAAUCCUGGCGAGCCAGAAUUACGAUGGCCACCCCAGCGCUUUAGAUAUUACCACGGUCUUGAGCCGUUCCAAGUAUCUUCCAAUAGUAUCUUUUGGGGUCUCGGCUUUGCUGAUAGUUUCAGACCUUACCAAUUGGGCUUAUGUAAAACCAUUAAAUAAAGAUCUACAGAUAUAUAUCAGA